CCUAUGGUGUGCAGCAGUGGGGGAUAUUGCACAAUGGGGGAAACCCUGAUGCAGCGACGCCGCGUGGGUGAAGAAGCGCCUCGGCGCGUAAAGCCCUGUCAGCAGGGAAGAAAAUGACGGUACCUGAAGAAGAAGCCCCGGCUAACUACGUGCCAGCAGCCGCGGUAAUACGUAGGGGGCAAGCGGUAGCCGGAUUUACUGGGUGUAAAGGGGGCGCAGACGGCGAUGCAAGCCAGGAGUGAAAGCCCGGGGCCCAACCCCGGGACUGCUCUUGGAACUGCGUGGCUAGAGUGCAGGAGGGGCAGGCGGAAUUCCUGGGGUAGCGGUGAAAUGCGUAGAUAUCAGGAGGAACACCGGUGGCGAAGGCGGCCUGCUGGACUGCAACUGACGUUGAGGCCCGAAAGCGUGGGGAGCAAACAGGAUUAGAUACCCCUGUAGUC
This 440-nucleotide ribosomal RNA is filed under the name uncultured bacterium. Its description in RNAcentral is "partial 16S ribosomal RNA". It matches the Rfam family "Bacterial small subunit ribosomal RNA", at positions 338 to 795 of the family's 1533-position model. The record is from RNAcentral.